UACGGAGGGUGCAAGCGUUAUCCGGAUUCACUGGGUUUAAAGGGUGCGUAGGUGGGCAGGUAAGUCAGUGGUGAAAUCUUCAAGCUUAACUUGGAAACUGCCAUUGAUACUAUUUGUCUUGAAUAUCCUGGAGGUAAGCGGAAUAUGUCAUGUAGCGGUGAAAUGCUUAGAUAUGACAUAGAACACCCAUUGCGAAGGCAGCUUACUACGGGAUUAUUGACACUGAGGCACGAAAGCGUGGGGAUCAAACAGG
Molecule: ribosomal RNA, 253 nt
Filed under: uncultured bacterium
Lineage: Bacteria
Description: partial 16S ribosomal RNA
Rfam family: Bacterial small subunit ribosomal RNA
Source: RNAcentral